GUAGGGAAUCUUCCACAAUGGACGAAAGUCUGAUGGAGCAACGCCGCGUGAGUGAAGAAGGUUUUCGGAUCGUAAAGCUCUGUUGUUGGUGAAGAAGGAUAGAGGCAGUAACUGGUCUUUAUUUGACGGUAAUCAACCAGAAAGUCACGGCUAACUACGUGCCAGCAGCCGCGGUAAUACGUAGGUGGCAAGCGUUGUCCGGAUUUAUUGGGCGUAAAGCGAGCGCAGGCGGAACGAUAAGUCUGAUGUGAAAGCCCACGGCUCAACCGUGGAACUGCAUCGGAAACUGUCAUUCUUGAGUGCAGAAGAGGAGAGUGGAACUCCAUGUGUAGCGGUGGAAUGCGUAGAUAUAUGGAAGAACACCAGUGGCGAAGGCGGCUCUCUGGUCUGCAACUGACGCUGAGGCUCGAAAGCAUGGGUAGCGAACAGGAUUAGAUACCCUGGUAGUCCAUGCCGUAAACGAUGAGCGCUAGGUGUUGGGGACUUUCCGGUCCUCAGUGCCGCAGCAAACGCAUUAAGCGCUCCGCCUGGGGAGUACGACCGCAAGGUUGAAAC
This 555-nucleotide ribosomal RNA is filed under the name uncultured bacterium. RNAcentral describes it as "partial 16S ribosomal RNA". It matches the Rfam family "Bacterial small subunit ribosomal RNA", at positions 354 to 900 of the family's 1533-position model. The record is from RNAcentral.